GAGAGAGAGAGAGAGAGAGAUUCCUUCCUGCUCAAUCUGACAGGCUUAUAUUUGUUAAAGCUAGUGGUUUGGUGAUAAAUGGACUGCUUAAACUACUGUUUAUUGACAAAUGUUUGUUUGUUCAUGCAUAGCGGUUGUAUGUAUAUGCUUUUAGACACUUCAUGCAUGCAAGGCUAUUCUUCAUAUAGAUUGUAUGGACAAAUGUUUGAGCUGAGAAUGAAUAUCUUUUCAUUCAUUGAAAAGCUUUGUGUCAUCUUCAUUUUCUGUGUGUUGAAUUACUGCAUUUCUCCAAGUAUCAUAAUUUCUUGAAUCCUAUAAAAGCCAGACCAGAUUCAAGCUUGGGUUAAAUUAUUCUUUUCUAUUCUCGAUAUUAAAUUCCCAGACCAGAUGUGAUGGGAAGAUUCAUUGUAUUGAGUAAUGAUAACCAUAGUCAUAAUGUUAUAUGGUAAAGAAAGUAUGAAGACUCGUCAUCUAGUCAAUUUCUUGAAGCAAAGUAUCCUAUGAGAAGCACGGGUGAGUUGUUCUUGUGGCUUAUAAAUGGG
Molecule: unclassified non-coding RNA, 542 nt
Filed under: Hevea brasiliensis (rubber tree)
Lineage: Eukaryota; Viridiplantae; Streptophyta; Magnoliopsida; Malpighiales; Euphorbiaceae
Source: RNAcentral